GCUGGGCGCAGUGGCACACCCCUGUAAUCCCAGCUGCUUGGGAGGCUGAGGCAGGAGGAUCGCAAAUUUAAAGUCAGCCUCAGCAAAAGUGAGGCAGGUGCUAAGCAACUCAGUGAGACCCUGUCUCUA
Molecule: small RNA, 129 nt
Filed under: Marmota monax (woodchuck)
Lineage: Eukaryota; Metazoa; Chordata; Mammalia; Rodentia; Sciuridae
Source: RNAcentral